RNAcentral lists this ribosomal RNA (467 nucleotides) under uncultured bacterium. RNAcentral's name for it is "bacterial SSU rRNA". It matches the Rfam family "Bacterial small subunit ribosomal RNA", at positions 329 to 793 of the family's 1533-position model. The record is from RNAcentral.
GUCCAGACUCCUACGGGAGGCAGCAGUGAGGAAUAUUGGUCAAUGGGCGAGAGCCUGAACCAGCCAAGUCGCGUGAAGGAUGACGGCCCUACGGGUUGUAAACUUCUUUUGUCAGGGAGCAAUUGAGUCCACGUGUGGUCUUAGCGAGAGUACCUGAAGAAAAAGCAUCGGCUAACUCCGUGCCAGCAGCCGCGGUAAUACGGAGGAUGCGAGCGUUAUCCGGAUUUAUUGGGUUUAAAGGGUGCGUAGGCGGGCUUUUAAGUCGGCGGUAAAAAUUCGGGGCUCAACCCCGUCCGGCCGUUGAAACUGGGGGCCUUGAGUGGGCGAGAAGAAGGCGGAAUGCGUGGUGUAGCGGUGAAAUGCAUAGAUAUCACGAAGAACUCCGAUUGCGAAGGCAGCUUACUAAACUGCCACUGACAUUGAUGCUCGAAAGUGUGGGUAUCAAACAGGAUUAGAUACCCGAGUAC